CCGGUACUGUGUUGGUUUGUUCCAUCAUUGCUGUCUGAAAGACACUUACUACGUCAUCUUAUAAAGUUAUGACGUCAUUGCUGCCAGUUCAUAAAACGGACGUCGAUUAGAGAAGCUGAAAAUUGGACGUCGAUUAGAGAAGCCAAAAAUUGGACGUCGAUUAGAGGGGCAUAAAAUUGGCCGUCGAUUUGGAGUCUUGUUUUAUU
This 206-nucleotide long non-coding RNA is filed under the name Mytilus galloprovincialis (Mediterranean mussel). The record is from RNAcentral. Lineage: Eukaryota; Metazoa; Mollusca; Bivalvia; Mytilida; Mytilidae.